This is a long non-coding RNA of Stegostoma tigrinum, 489 nucleotides long. RefSeq lists it as uncharacterized. Lineage: Eukaryota; Metazoa; Chordata; Chondrichthyes; Orectolobiformes; Stegostomatidae. The record is from RefSeq and is a predicted model, not a curated record. The transcript is spliced from 4 exons.
AGAGAAUCAUGGUGUUUACAGCACUUAUUAUAGCUGAGAUUGAAGGGUGUGCUUAUCCUCUUGGUCCUACCCCUCAUAUGGUCAUGACAAAUUUUCAAUUUGAAAGGAAUUGUCUUUGGCACAAAAUUCUGAACUGGAUUUAAGGACCAAGCUGCACAAGAACAGGAUGGGAACACGCUGUUAUACAGAUCCUUGUAUCCUGGAAACCGUCAUGCUCUAUUUCCUUGAAUACUCUGCACUUUUGCCAUCAGACUUCUGCAACCCAAAUUUAAAGAACAAGAGAACCUGAGUAUACAAUCAACAACCUCACAUAUGAAACCAGAGAUGUGAACAGCUUUUCGCUUCAUCAGACUUGUGCCAAUGCAACAGGGACAGUUAGUUAAUUUCUUUGUCAAUCAACUCUUUUAGAAGUAACUGGAUAAGAACCUGGCUAGAAAUGGAAUUGAAAUCUUUGUGAGUAGCAACAGUUACCAGUGACUGAAUGCUCUA